RNAcentral lists this ribosomal RNA (308 nucleotides) under Halioglobus sp. Its description in RNAcentral is "bacterial SSU rRNA". It matches the Rfam family "Bacterial small subunit ribosomal RNA", at positions 1 to 316 of the family's 1533-position model. Lineage: Bacteria; Pseudomonadati; Pseudomonadota; Gammaproteobacteria; Cellvibrionales; Halieaceae. The record is from RNAcentral.
AAACUGAAGAGUUUGAUCAUGGCUCAGAUUGAACGCUGGCGGCAGGCCUAACACAUGCAAGUCGAGCGAGAAAGCCUUCGGGUGAGUACAGCGGCGGACGGGUGAGUAACGCGUAGGAAUCUACCUGGUAGUGGGGGACAACAUGGGGAAACUCAUGCUAAUACCGCAUACGCCCUAAGGGGGAAAGCGGGGGACCUUCGGGCCUCGCGCUAUCAGAUGAGCCUGCGUAGGAUUAGCUUGUUGGUGAGGUAAAGGCUCACCAAGGCGACGAUCCUUAGCUGGUCUGAGAGGAUGAUCAGCCACACUGG